UACGAGGGGGGCGAGCGUUGUUCGGAAUUAUUGGGCGUAAAGGGUGCGUAGGCGGUUUGGUAAGUCUUGUGUGAAAUCUACAGGCUCAACUUGUAGUCUGCACGAGAAACUGCCGGGCUUGAGUAUGGGAGAGGUGAGUGGAAUUCCUGGUGUAGCGGUGAAAUGCGUAGAUAUCAGGAGGAACACCUGUGGCGAAAGCGGCUCACUGGACCAUAACUGACGCUGAGGCGCGAAAGCGUGGGGGAGCAAACAGGA
Molecule: ribosomal RNA, 255 nt
Filed under: uncultured bacterium
Lineage: Bacteria
Description: partial 16S ribosomal RNA
Rfam family: Bacterial small subunit ribosomal RNA
Source: RNAcentral